GUUUGGAAUCCAUUUUCUAUGUUUCAUGUAUGAAGAAAAGAAAAGCUGAUAUUUUAUGUGUGUUAAUUUUUUUCUAUCAUGUUAAUUUUUAACACUCUGUCUUUGAUAAGGGACUUGCAACAAAGCAUUGCCAGAGAACCUAGUGCUCCUUCAAUUCCUACACCUGCAUAUCAGUCCUCACCAGCAGGAGGACAUGCACCAACUCCUCCAACUCCAGCGCCAAGAACCAUGCCGCCUACUAAGCCCCAGCCCCCAGCCAGGCCUCCACCACCUGUGCUUCCAGCAAAUCGAGCUCCUUCUGCUACUGCUCCAUCUCCAGUGGGGGCUGGGACUGCUGCACCAGCUCCAUCACAAACGCCUGGCUCAGCUCCUCCUCCACAGGCCCAGGGACCACCCUAUCCCACCUAUCCAGGAUAUCCUGGGUAUUGCCAAAUGCCCAUGCCCAUGGGCUAUAAUCCUUAUGCGUAUGGCCAGUAUAAUAUGCCAUAUCCACCAGUGUAUCACCAGAGUCCUGGACAGGCUCCAUACCCGGGACCCCAG
RNAcentral lists this small RNA (540 nucleotides) under Pan troglodytes (chimpanzee). Its description in RNAcentral is "retained intron". The record is from RNAcentral. Lineage: Eukaryota; Metazoa; Chordata; Mammalia; Primates; Hominidae.